Molecule: ribosomal RNA, 449 nt
Filed under: uncultured bacterium
Lineage: Bacteria
Description: bacterial SSU rRNA
Rfam family: Bacterial small subunit ribosomal RNA
Source: RNAcentral
CCCAGACUCCUACGGGAGGCAGCAGUGGGGAAUAUUGGACAAUGGGGGGAACCCUGAUCCAGCGACGCCGCGUGAGUGAAGAAGUAUUUCGGUAUGUAAAGCCCUAUCAGCAGGGAAGAAAGAAAUGACGGUACCUGACUAAGAAGCCCCGGCUAACUACGUGCCAGCAGCCGCGGUAAUACGUAGGGGGCGAGCGUUAUCCGGAUUCACUGGGUGUAAAGGGAGCGUAGACGGCCAUGCAAGCCAGGGGUGAAAGCCCGGGGCCCAACCCCGGGACUGCCCUUGGAACUGCAUGGCUGGAGUGCGGGAGGGGCAGGCGGAAUUCCUGGUGUAGCGGUGAAAUGCGUAGAUAUCAGGAGGAACACCAGUGGCGAAGGCGGCUUACUGGACUGUAACUGACGUUGAGGCUCGAAAGCGUGGGGAGCAAACAGGAUUAGAUACCCCUGUAU